GAUGAACGCUGGCGGCGUGCCUAAUACAUGCCAGUCGAGCGAACAGACGAGGAGCUUGCUCCUCUGACGUUAGCGGCGGACGGGUGAGUAACACGUGGAUAACCUACCUAUAAGACUGGGAUAACUUCGGGAAACCGGAGCUAAUACCGGAUAAUAUAUUGAACCGCAUGGUUCAAUAGUGAAAGACGGUUUUGCUGUCACUUAUAGAUGGAUCCGCGCCGCAUUAGCUGGUUGGUAAGGUAACGGCUUACCAAGGCAACGAUGCGUAGCCGACCUGAGAGGGUGAUCGGCCACACGGGAACUGAGACACGGUCCAGACUCCUACGGGAGGCAGCAGUAGGGAAUCUUCCGCAAUGGGCGAAAGCCUGACGGAGCAGCGCCGCGUGAGUGAUGAAGGUCUUCGGAUCGUAAAACUCUGUUAUUAGGGAAGAACAAAUGUGUAAGUAACUAUGCACGUCUUGACGGUACCUAAUCAGAAAGCCACGGCUAACUACGUG
This 497-nucleotide ribosomal RNA is filed under the name uncultured bacterium. RNAcentral's name for it is "partial 16S ribosomal RNA". It matches the Rfam family "Bacterial small subunit ribosomal RNA", at positions 28 to 507 of the family's 1533-position model. The record is from RNAcentral.